AAAGACUUAGUCCUAACCUUACCAUUAACUAUCAUUAGACAUAUACAUGCAAGUAUCCGCGCCCCAGUGUAAAUGCCCUCACCUAUUUUAAACCUUACCCAGGUAAGAGGAGCAGGUAUCAGGCUCACCCCCGUAGCCCAAAACACCUUGCCCAGCCACACCCCCACGGGUCCUCAGCAGUAAUUAACAUUAAGCCAUAAGUGAAAACUUGACUUAGUCAUAAUGACUUCAGGGCCGGUAAAUCUUGUGCCAGCUACCGCGGUCAUACAAGAGGCCCAAGUUAAUGGUACCCGGCGUAAAGAGUGGAAACAUGCUAUCUAAUUAAACUAGGACCAAUAUGCAUCUAAGCCGUCAUAAGCCCAAGAUAGCACCAAAACCCUCAUAAAAACGGUCCCAGCAUCAAAGAUCGAUUAUACCCCACGAAAGCUAGGAAACAAACUGGGAUUAGAUACCCCACUAUGCUUAGCCCUAAAUCUAAAUGCUUAACUUACCUAAGCAUUCGCCCGAGAACUACGAGCGCAAACGCUUAAAACUCUAAGGACUUGGCGGUGCCCCAAACCCACCUAGAGGAGCCUGUUCUAUAAUCG
RNAcentral lists this ribosomal RNA (587 nucleotides) under Crypturellus tataupa. RNAcentral describes it as "12S ribosomal RNA". It matches the Rfam family "Bacterial small subunit ribosomal RNA", at positions 9 to 952 of the family's 1533-position model. The record is from RNAcentral. Lineage: Eukaryota; Metazoa; Chordata; Aves; Tinamiformes; Tinamidae.